GAGUUUGAACCUGGCUCAGGAUGAACGCUGGCGGCGUGCCUAACACAUGCAAGUCGAACGGAGUGCCAAGGACAAACAUUUCGAUGGGCGGCUUUGGUAACUGAGUGGCGGACGGGUGAGUAACGCGUGGACAACCUGCCGUGUACAGGGGGAUAACAGCCGGAAACGGCUGCUAAUACCGCAUAUGCGCACAGUGCCGCAUGGCACAGGGCGGAAAACGAUAGUGGUACACGAUGGGUCCGCGUCUGAUUAGAUAGUUGGCGGGGUAACGGCCUACCAAGUCGACGAUCAGUAGCCGGCCUGAGAGGGCGGACGGCCACACUGGGACUGAGACACGGCCCAGACUCCUGCGGGAGGCAGCAGUGGGGAAUAUUGCACAAUGGGGGGAACCCUGAUGCAGCGACGCCGCGUGAAGGAAGAAGUAUUUCGGUAUGUAAACUUCUAUCAGCAGGGAAGAAAAAGGACGGUACCUGACUAAGAAGCCCCGGCUAACUACG
Molecule: ribosomal RNA, 497 nt
Filed under: uncultured bacterium
Lineage: Bacteria
Description: bacterial SSU rRNA
Rfam family: Bacterial small subunit ribosomal RNA
Source: RNAcentral